AUACUUGCCUGAGGUCGGGGACACCGGGAUCAUGCAAGCGGUUCCCCCAGGACGAGGAUACUCCAUUGCUUGUACUGCGGAGUGGUUGACCCUUGCGAUUAUUUAAUUUUUAUCAAUAAAAAAAUCAUAAUAAAAAAUGUAUACCCGAAUAACUAUUUUCUUUAUA
This is a small nuclear RNA of Bombyx mandarina (wild silkworm), 166 nucleotides long. NCBI's taxonomy places the organism in Eukaryota, Metazoa, Arthropoda, Insecta, Lepidoptera, Bombycidae. The record is from RefSeq and is a predicted model, not a curated record.